Molecule: non-coding RNA, 2717 nt
Organism: Nothobranchius furzeri (turquoise killifish)
Lineage: Eukaryota; Metazoa; Chordata; Actinopteri; Cyprinodontiformes; Nothobranchiidae
Source: RefSeq, a predicted model, not a curated record
GGUUGUCCCUUACCUAAACUACCUGUCUUUCUUACCUUCUUUCUUUCUUUCUUUCUUUCUUUUUUAAGAACACUACUCGCACAAGAAAUCCUAAGAAUUAAUUCACUACUUAAGGUUAAUUCAUAAAUAAAGAAACUGCAGUUACAGGUUUGUUUGUGCAUAGUAUUGGUAAUCAGCAGUUUUUUUCCUUAUCUCCUCAUCUAGAAGUGUGUUUCUGUGCUACUCCUCCAUCUAUAACACAAGUUAGUAUCAUCCUUAAAGCGUCUGAAAUUAAGCUGCAUUGCUAAAUCAAUAACGUGAUUUGUGCUAAGAAAUACUCCCCUAUCCUCUUCCUUUUUCCAGUGGCACUGAAUGACAGAUUUUAGAUCAAUUUAACGUUUUAUUACUAUUACGUUUCAUUUAAUUAAUUUUGCUUUUUCUCUCUUAUUUUUAUCUAUUUAUUUAUUUAUGUUAUUUACUUAUUUAUCAUGCCAUCCUGUGAUGAUAAUCUUAAAGACUUUUUAGCCAAUUGUCGUCAAAAAGGCCAAUUAAAAAUAUUAUGUUAAAGAUUUCACAAGAUAAAAAUGUGAACAUAAUUUUUAUCGAAUGAGGGGUACCAUUAUUCAAUAUUUUUGUAACAUUAUUUUCUACGUUAGAACUUACAGCUGAUAGAAAAAUAUAGGAUCAGCUAGGUUUGGCUAGAUCUGUUGGGAAACUCAACGGAGCUGAAACAACACUGUUGUCUCGGAUGAGAUGUUCCAUGAAUCAUUUAGUCAGCUGAAUGCCAAAUUAUUCAUUUAAUGUUUAUUUUUAUGCAAUGAAUGGAAUGGGAUGGAACGUUACUAUAAACUGUCCGGAAAUUUGCGCAUGUUUGCUCGAAGGAGAGAACUGUUGAAGCCUAAAGCGUUCUCCUAGACUUAUAAAUAGACACCGUUUCCUUAACCAAUGAAAAUAAGUGAUAACGCUGAUGUAUUCCGUUUUGAAAAGAAAAUAAGGCUUUACUGCAUGUCCGCUGCAGCUGAGAAUCCUAAGACAAUAAAGAUUAUAUUGACGUCCAAUGGUGAGUUGGGCUGAAAUCCAGGUUACUAAUCCUGUUAUUUAUUUAUUUAUUGUUAUUAUUAUUAUCUUUUUUUUUUAGGCUAACUUUCUCAGUUAACUAUGUUCUACAGUAGUUUAGUAAAUUUUCCACAGUUCUGACAUUUCAUCAAUUCAACUGGUUGUUGCCAAAAAGCCUUGUUCAUUACCUGACUGCAGCAAGCACUCUUUUACUGGGUGUAACCAUAGGAAACAGUCUCUUUUGAGCCUCUCUUUGUAAGUCCAGGAUGACCACCGUCAUUGAUUAAAGUUCACAUGUUAGCACACAUGCUCCCCCUUUUGUACUUUGUUUCAUCAGCAGCAGGGCAAAUAAGUUUCUGCCUCUUUGUCCAUCUUGUAGUGCUCCCCGUCUUGAUGUUAUAAGUCACAGCUUUUGGUGAGGGCUUCCAGGUUCUCUUUGUAUAGAAGUCAGACCCAAACAUUCUUUGCAGCUGGUUGUGACAGGCCCACCCAGUAAAGUUCAUGCCCGCCACAAUGCACAGCAAACGUUUUCCUUAAAUAUGUUGAUUGGGUUGAAAUGACAGAACUUUCUCUUUUUACAAAUCAAAAUCAACGAUGGUUUCUAAUAAUUAGUCAACUUUAUUGACCCAAAGGUAAAUCUAGACUACUUCCUAUGCACAAUUUGUUCUGAAUCAUCAAAUCAGUUCUACACAGGUUUUAAACAUUAGGCACAAUCUAUCCCAAAUGCAAGAUCCCUCCUUUCAUUUUUUAUUUAUCUAUUUUUAUUUUAGGAAAAUAACUACCAGUUUUUAACUCAAAACAGCCUGGUACAGUUUCUAGCCAGGUUACAGGAAAUAAUACUUAGUUUAUCUGUUUUUUCAUUAUUCAGCGUCCCAAAAUCCAGCCAUUAACAUUAAUGGUUCUUAAUGUUGAGGCAAGACAAUUAUUGGAUUUUGUUUUAUAGCAAGAUUUAACAAAUAUUUUAUUUCUUGACUGAUUAUUUGUUAAUUUUAUGGUUUUCAUAAAGAUGAUCCUGAGAAGUUCAGAGCUGCUUUUCGCAGCACCCUGUGCUAUUUUUAGACUAUGGGAUUCUUGUGUGUAAAAGUGGGUGGAGUCAGGUCCCCAGGCUGAAACUCCAGUCAUUCUCACUAGAUCUGUCCGAGAGGAAGGAUCUCCUGAAUACCCUAACCAGAAGCCUUAAGUCUCUUGAACUAAAUAACCGUCUAGCAAAAACAUGGACCGCACCCUGUUUCUCAAGCAGCUGCUCCCUCUAUUAAAAACUGAGUCAUUCAGGAGAAGAUCCAGCGAAAGCAGCAUUUACUUCUCAUGCAAGAAGACACGCAUUCACUCAUUCACAAGGCACAGAGACAUUCUUUGUUUGUCACAGUCUUUUUUUUUUUUAAAGUAAGUCAGUCCGUCACUUAUUUAUUCUCUCUCUCUCUAUAUAUAUAUAAUAUUUUAAGCACAGAAUUUAUUUAACACUGCACUGGUUAUUUUCAGAAUUUAAUGCUUACUAUGCUUUUAAGCAGGCCUUAUGUAACAUUAGAGCAAAUCCAAUUGCAAUUUUUUGUGAGCGCUCUGAGGAAUAGUUUAUAUAUUUAUUUUCUGCAGAUCUGUUUUGAUUUUACUGUUUAGCAGCUAUCUGACUUUAUGUAUAUGUAUAUCCAUAUAUUUCUGAAAUAAAGCUGUCAUAUACAACCUUA